CGAUCUGGCUCAGGACAACGCUGGCGGCGUGCUUCAUACAUGCAAGUCGAACGAGAAUCUGAUGCUUGCACCAGAGGAAAGUGGCGGACGGGUGAGUAAUAUGUAGAGAAUCUGCCCUUUAGCGGGGGACAACAGUUGGAAACGACUGCUAAUACCCCAUAUGAGCGUAGCUGAGAUGCUAUUCUUGAAACUCCGGUGCUAAAGGAUGAGUCUGCAUCUGAUUAGCUAGUUGGCGGUGUAAUGGACCACCAGGGCGACGAUCAGUAGCUGGUUUGAGAGGAUGAUCAGCCACAAUGGGACUGAGACACGGCCCAUACUCCUACGGGAGGCAGCAGUAGGGAAUUUUGCGCAAUGGGCGAAAGCCUGAACCGCAGCAACGCCGCGUGACCGAUGAAGCCCUUCGGGGUGUAAAGGUCUGUCAGUGGGGACGAAACUUGACGGUACCCACAGAGGAAGCAUCGGCUAACUCCGUGCCAGCCGCCGC
Molecule: ribosomal RNA, 484 nt
Filed under: uncultured bacterium
Lineage: Bacteria
Description: bacterial SSU rRNA
Rfam family: Bacterial small subunit ribosomal RNA
Source: RNAcentral